RNAcentral lists this ribosomal RNA (346 nucleotides) under uncultured bacterium. RNAcentral's name for it is "SSU rRNA". It matches the Rfam family "Bacterial small subunit ribosomal RNA", at positions 26 to 372 of the family's 1533-position model. The record is from RNAcentral.
AGAACGAACGCUGGCGGCGUGGUUAAGACAUGCAAGUCGAACGGAUUAGUUUUGUAGCAAUACCGAACUGGUUAGUGGCGAACGGGUGCGUAACACGUGGAUACAUUGGAGAAGCGGGGAAUAGCCCAGGGAAACUUGGAUUAAUGCCGCAUGUGGCCGAAGGGCCAAAGACGGGGACCGCAAGGCCUGUCACUUCUCUGUUGGUCUGCGGCCUAUCAGCUAGUUGGUGAGGUAAAGGCUCACCAAGGCGACGACGGGUAGCUGGUCUGAGAGGACGACCAGCCACACUGGAACUGAGACACGGUCCAGACACCUACGGUGGCAGCAGUCGAGAAUCUUUCACAAU